Molecule: long non-coding RNA, 570 nt
Filed under: Mytilus galloprovincialis (Mediterranean mussel)
Lineage: Eukaryota; Metazoa; Mollusca; Bivalvia; Mytilida; Mytilidae
Source: RNAcentral
GGCUUCUAACGGAGUUUAAAAAAUCAUGCAAAAAUAAGGCAACUGAAGGUUCACUAUAAUGUAUGUGGUAUAAAAUAGAAAAUUAAAUGCUAAGAAUGUAUUUUACUUUUAAAUUCAACCGUGACAUCAAUGGCUGAAUUCCACACGUAAACAACAAAUGGAGCAAUGCUUUCAACAUUGUGUAUGGACAAGAAGCGUUGAACGCUGACAGCUUUUUACAUGUUACUUGAAACUUGUGUCUAAGUACUAUUCAGCGGUGAGGCUAAAAAUCAAUAGCAAAGUCAAAGAACAUUGAUGAUAAAACGUCGCUUAGGUCAAUUUAGAAAGUGAGCUAAAUAUAAAAAAAAAAAGAAAAUGUGGUAUGAUUGCCACUGAGACAACUUUCAACAAGAGAACAAAUGGCACAGAAACUAACAGCUAUAGGUCACCGUACGGCCGCCAACAAUGAGCAAAGCGGCAUAGUCUGUGAUAAAGCCAUUUAUAUAAAAUAAGGAGAUGUAGUAUGGUUGUCAAUGAGACAAUUACUCACAAAAAACGAAAUCACGUUGAUAUUAGCAACGUUUGACCAUC